AGGGCACCACCAGGAGUGGAGCCUGCGGCUUAAUUUGACUCAACACGGGAAAACUCACCCGGCCCGGACACUGGAAGGAUUGACAGAUUGAGAGCUCUUUCUUGAUUCAGUGGGUGGUGGUGCAUGGCCGUUCUUAGUUGGUGGAGUGAUUUGUCUGGUUAAUUCCGAUAACGAACGAGACUCUAGCCUACUAAAUAGAUCGUCGGCUUACAAACGCCGGCGAGAUUUCUUAGAGGGACAGGCGGUGAUUCAACCGCACGAAACAGAGCAAUAACAGGUCUGUGAUGCCCUUAGAUGUCCGGGGCCGCACGCGCGCUACACUGAGGUGAUCAGCGUGCUUUUUCAACCUACUCUGUCAAGAGUGGGGAACCCAAUGAACCUUCUUCGUGAUUGGGAUAGGGGAUUGUAAUUAUUCCCCUUGAACGAGGAAUUCCCAGUAAGCGCGAGUCAUAAGCUCGCGUUGAUUACGUCCCUGCCCUUUGUACACACCGCCCGUCGCUACUACCGAUUGAAUGUUUU
This 519-nucleotide ribosomal RNA is filed under the name uncultured eukaryote. Its description in RNAcentral is "SSU rRNA". It matches the Rfam family "Eukaryotic small subunit ribosomal RNA", at positions 1161 to 1699 of the family's 1831-position model. The record is from RNAcentral.